GCAAACACAAGGUAAUAUUUGACUCCUGCCCAGCACUUCCAGAUCACAAAAACACGGAUCUUAUGACCAGAAAGGCCUUAAGAUAUCAUCUGGUUCAGUUCCCUUGCCUUCAGAGAUAAAGCUGUCUAGAAUCUAUCCCUUUUUCCUCACUCAGAAUGUGAAUGCCCAGACCUUAAAAAAAGCAAAGCUCCCAAGAGCAGAAAGUGAGGAAAGGGGAAACAACGUGAAGGUUUUCAAGAACUGCAUCUGAGGAGAUGACGGAACGUUCUGCCUCUGCAGAAUUAGACACACACGCUCCGAGGGGACCGAGCCCACACUCCCCACAGCCUUCCACGGCAGCACAGAGACUCUCCGGAGAAACCACAAUGCAAAUCCACGGUAAAGCUGCAGUAUUAGUCCCCAUGAAAGAUGAAUGGGACGCACAGGAUCAAGAAAAGCAACGUGAUGUACUCCGGGCCACGCGCCAUCUCCUGCUCACUCCCAGGCCCAUCCUGCCUUUGAGCCACUGGGCCUGCUGCUUCCUGCUGCAACCCUGGUGAUCCCAACCCUGCCUUGGAAUGUCUCCAGCAACGUCUCAAAACCCACCGAAAACCUCCAACAAUAAAAGGAAAUUUAAUUCAUGUUCAUAAAACCAUAUGCCAUCAAUAUUAAGAUAUGUCACCUUUUAAAAAAUAUUAAUGACAGAGAGCUCUCUAGAAGUAAGGAUUCAAACCACAACAUGAAGCCAAUAUCCACAUCCUGCUGAAACACCAAAGGGGCUAGAAAUUACAGUCGUACUGGAGCGAACCAAUAAA
Equus caballus (horse) is the source of this 794-nucleotide non-coding RNA. The record is from RefSeq and is a predicted model, not a curated record. NCBI's taxonomy places the organism in Eukaryota, Metazoa, Chordata, Mammalia, Perissodactyla, Equidae.